UGCCAGCCGCCGCGGUAACACCUGCGCCCUGAGUGGCAAUCGCGAUUAUUGGGCCUAAAGCGUUCGUAGCCGGAUCAAUCAGUCUUGGGUGAAAUCGCUGCGCUUAACAAAGCGACGUGCUUGAGAUACUGUUGGUCUAGGGACCGGGAGGCGUGUGAGGUAUCCCCAAGGGAGCGGUAAAAUGCGAUAAUCUUGGGAGGACCACCUGUGGCGAAGGCGGUCUACCAGAACACGUCCGACGCUGAGACGCGAAAGCGUGGGGAGCAAACAGGAUUAGAUA
This 280-nucleotide ribosomal RNA is filed under the name uncultured bacterium. RNAcentral describes it as "partial 16S ribosomal RNA". It matches the Rfam family "Archaeal small subunit ribosomal RNA", at positions 456 to 735 of the family's 1478-position model. The record is from RNAcentral.